AAGUCGUAACAAGGUUUCCGUAGGUGAACCUGCGGAAGGAUCAUUAACACGUAUCCAAACGUUAAAACCCCCCCCGUGAACCUUCAUCCUGCUCUUGUAACCCGCGUAGUUCGCAAUCUCUGAUAAAUCAUAGCCCGGAAAGUUGUAGUGAUUCAGAGACCUCUGGCUACGUGCGAACAUUGGAACAGUUACAAUCGAGCGGUAGUUCUAUAGGCAAUGUUUCUCCAAGCAGUCAGUGUCGGAAAGUGUCAUUGAUUGUGCAAGGAUAGCGCUUCUACGAUUCCCCCUAAUAACCCCACAGUUUAAUGUGAAGCUCAAUGUAAUACAUUGGGUCAAAAAACCGAACAACUGUUAACAAUGGAUAUCUUGGUUCUC
This 375-nucleotide unclassified non-coding RNA is filed under the name fungal sp. RNAcentral's name for it is "partial internal transcribed spacer region". The stretch from base 1 to 46 matches the Rfam family "Eukaryotic small subunit ribosomal RNA", at positions 1786 to 1831 of the family's 1831-position model. The record is from RNAcentral. Lineage: Eukaryota; Fungi.